This 350-nucleotide RNase P RNA is filed under the name Holosporaceae bacterium. RNAcentral describes it as "RNase P RNA component class A". It matches the Rfam family "Bacterial RNase P class A". Rfam says of the family: Ribonuclease P (RNase P) is a ubiquitous endoribonuclease, found in archaea, bacteria and eukarya as well as chloroplasts and mitochondria. The record is from RNAcentral. Lineage: Bacteria; Pseudomonadati; Pseudomonadota; Alphaproteobacteria; Holosporales; Holosporaceae.
UUGCGAAAACGGAUGGCCGCUGCUUUUAGCAGAGGACAGUCCGGACUCCUCGGAGGAAAAGUGUCGGAUAACAUCCGACGGCGCUUUAUGGCGUUAGGGAAAGUGCAGCAGAAAAUAUACCGCCUGUUUAAAGGUAAGGGUGAAAUGGCGAGAUAAAAGCUCACCGCGCGGUCGGUAACGAUGGCGGCAUGGCAAACCCCACUUGGAGCAAGAUCAAAUAGGGAUAACGCGCACCUCCGCGCUAUGUUAUUCGGGUAGAUUGCUUGACGUUUAUGGCAACAUAAAUGCUAGAUGAAUGGCUAUCAAGAUUAAAAAUCUUACAGAAUCCGGCUUAUAGUUUUCGCAAUUUU